ACGCGCGGAACCUUACCAGGUCUUGACAUCCUCUGACACUCCUAGAGAUAGGACGUUCCCCUUCGGGGGACAGAGUGACAGGUGGUGCAUGGUUGUCGUCAGCUCGUGUCGUGAGAUGUUGGGUUAAGUCCCGCAACGAGCGCAACCCUUGAUCUUAGUUGCCAGCAUUCAGUUGGGCACUCUAAGGUGACUGCCGGUGACAAACCGGAGGAAGGUGGGGAUGACGUCAAAUCAUCAUGCCCCUUAUGACCUGGGCUACACACGUGCUACAAUGGAUGGUACAAAGGGCUGCAAGACUGCGAAGUCAAGCGAAUCCCAUAAAACCAUUCUCAGUUCGGAUUGCAGGCUGCAACUCGCCUGCAUGAAGCCGGAAUCGCUAGUAAUCGCGGAUCAGCAUGCCGCGGUGAAUACGUUCCCGGGCCUUGCACUCACCGCCCGU
RNAcentral lists this ribosomal RNA (439 nucleotides) under uncultured bacterium. RNAcentral's name for it is "bacterial SSU rRNA". It matches the Rfam family "Bacterial small subunit ribosomal RNA", at positions 959 to 1397 of the family's 1533-position model. The record is from RNAcentral.